UUUUUUUUUGUCAACAAUAGAGACCUAUAAAAUGAAAAAUACAGAACUUCAUUCCAGCUGGCAGAGAAUUAGCAGCUUUUUGCUCUAACAUUAAGCUGCACAGAUUAACUUAGAACUGUGAAAUGCUGACUCAUAUUCUUUGGGUGUGGUGGUAUAUAUAAGGGCUUGCUUACAGCGGUGGCAAUCCAAUAGAUGUUGUAUUUCUUGUUUUUUGUUCUUACAGAGAGAGAGAUGGAGGGGGCUUUGCCUUUUUCUUUCUCCUUGGAGGGGGGCGAUUGGCGAGGGUUGGUGGAAAUCAUUUGUAAAGAGGGGUUGCUGGAUAACCAUAAUACACCAUGCAACUUUUUUCUGGAUAAAAGUGGUUUACUGUACACACACACUUGCAAGUUAAGUGUGGAUUUUGCAGGCAGUGGAGCUUUCUGUUAAAUUUUAUUUCAUCCUUGAUGUAAUGAUGUAUCACAAUCAUAUACAUAAUGUUACAUUUUUGUAAACCAUUAUUUUAUAGAAUUUCAAAGAGAAUGACUUGCUUUCUGUUUACAGUU
Molecule: unclassified non-coding RNA, 542 nt
Filed under: Hevea brasiliensis (rubber tree)
Lineage: Eukaryota; Viridiplantae; Streptophyta; Magnoliopsida; Malpighiales; Euphorbiaceae
Source: RNAcentral